Molecule: long non-coding RNA, 1699 nt
Filed under: Podarcis lilfordi (Lilford's wall lizard)
Lineage: Eukaryota; Metazoa; Chordata; Lepidosauria; Squamata; Lacertidae
Source: RNAcentral
AAGCCGGCCGGCCGGCGUGCCGGGUGGUUGUAAACUAGGCCAAACGGAAGCGGCUCUCCUUGUCCUGGUAGCCAUCAGCGCCGGCCCAGGAAGAGUCUCAGCCUGAAACGACCUGUAGGGCUCCCCCCCCUUUACACUACUACCCCCCCCCAUUUAAAAGCGAAAGGAGGGUCGCCCCCGCACACCUUAGGGAGCCAGCUGCCUCCGCCCCCGGGAAGAGAAAUACCGUGCGAUUAACGGUAAUGGUGAACUCCUCCCGGCUUAGGGAGCCUUUCAAAGCGAUGGUAAUGAAGGAAGCAUUUCAUAGCGCAUAGGUUUCCAGGAAAAGUACAGCACCCGCUAUGGGUGUAGCCAAGGGAGGGGCAGCUGCCCCCACAAUCUAUAAAAAUCAACAUUUGUUGUUUAGUCGUGUCCGACUCUUUGUGACCCCAUGGACCAGAGCAAGCCAGGCACUCCUGUCUUCCACUGCCUCCCACAGCUUGGUCCAACUCAUGCUGGUAGCCUCGAGAACACUGUCCAACCAUCUUGUCCUGUCGUCCCCUUCUCCUUGUGCCCUCCAUCUUUCCCAACAUCAGGGUCUUUUCCAGGGACUCUUCUCUUCUCACGAGGUGGCCAAAGUAUUGGAGCCUCAGCUUCAGGAUCUGUCCUUCCAGUGAGCACUCAGGGCUGAUUUCCUUUAGGAUAGGUCUGAUCUUCUUGCAGUCCAUGGGACUCUCAAGAGUCUCCUCCAGCACCAUAAUUCAAAAGCGUCAAUUCUUUGGCGAUCAGCCGUCUAGCAAACUCAGGUUCUGCCCACUAACAAAAGGCCUACUCACCACGGUACCCGCUUUGGAAAGUCCAAUCCUAUUGUCAGGGCAAGAACCCCUGACUGCACUGCACUUAACAGCAGUAAUAUAAAAGUCUCGCGUCCCUGACCUGAUGAGAACCCGAUUCUAUUAAUUUUGUGCAUCGUGCUGCUCUUCAGCGAAGUUGCUUCUAAAUUUCAACUGCAGAGUGAUCUUUCUGCGGCAGUAGUGUUGCCCCAGGGCAACAGGCUCAUUUCCCCAUUCCCAAGCACCCCACUCUCUUCCCUUUUCGCUUGCCAAAACAUGUAGCAAUAAUGACAAUUUAUUUUGUCUUGAAUGUAGUUCAGAACAUGAAACAACAGGUUAUGUGGAUGGCAUCAGUGGUACAAAAGCAGCAGCAGAAAGGACAACACAGGAUAGGAGAGGGGAAGGGCACACCCCUCUGGAUGAUGACAGCAACCAUCACGAUACUGGAAUGUAACAGGCCAACUUGCAGCACUGAAAAGAGUCAUUGCAGAGGUCACUACCACAAGUGUGUAUGAGCUGCAGAAAGGAAAGAGAGUGCACACAUUUGUGUUUUUAACUGCCCUGGGGUCAUCUGAUGGAGGGUGAGCCAAAGCAGGUAUUUAAAAAUAAAUAAGACACAUGGCAUAAGACCAUAGCAUUCUGCUCUCACACAACUCACAGGAAACUUGAGGCUGAUCCACACCCUAUAUUUAAAGCACAUCUAACACACUUUAAAAACACAUGACUUCCCCAAAGAAUCCUGAUAACUGUAGGUUUUUUUUAAAGGUGCUGGGAAUUAUAGCUAUGGUCUCAGGGUUUUUUUGGAGGAAUGAUGUGUAUCGGAUGUGCUUUAAAUGUUUGAUGAGAACCUAUCUAAAGACUACCCAUUGGAAACAAGGUGGCAGCAC